AGUGAACGCUGGCGGUAGGCCUAACACAUGCAAGUCGAACGGCAGCACAGUAAGAGCUUGCUCUUACGGGUGGCGAGUGGCGGACGGGUGAGGAAUACAUCGGAAUCUACUUUUUCGUGGGGGAUAACGUAGGGAAACUUACGCUAAUACCGCAUACGACCUACGGGUGAAAGCAGGGGAUCUUCGGACCUUGCGCGAUUGAAUGAGCCGAUGUCGGAUUAGCUAGUUGGCGGGGUAAAGGCCCACCAAGGCGACGAUCCGUAGCUGGUCUGAGAGGAUGGUCGCCCGCACUGGAAGUGGGACACGGUCCAGGCGCCUACGGGAGGGAGCAGUGGGGAAUAUGGGACAAUAGGGGCAAGCCUGGUCCAGCCAUACCGCGUGGGUGAAGAAAGCCUUCGGGUUGUAAAGCCCUUUUGUUGGGAAAGAAAAGCAGCAGGUUGAUACCCCGCUGUUCUGACGGUACCCAAAGAAUAAGCACCGGCUAACUUCGUG
RNAcentral lists this ribosomal RNA (492 nucleotides) under uncultured bacterium. RNAcentral's name for it is "partial 16S ribosomal RNA". It matches the Rfam family "Bacterial small subunit ribosomal RNA", at positions 29 to 507 of the family's 1533-position model. The record is from RNAcentral.